RNAcentral lists this ribosomal RNA (486 nucleotides) under uncultured bacterium. RNAcentral describes it as "partial 16S ribosomal RNA". It matches the Rfam family "Bacterial small subunit ribosomal RNA", at positions 28 to 507 of the family's 1533-position model. The record is from RNAcentral.
GAUGAACGCUGGCGGCGUGCCUAAUACAUGCAAGUCGAACGCUGGAGAUCUAGCUUGCUAGCUCGAAGGAGUGGCGAACGGGUGAGUAAUACAUAAGCAACCUACCCACGAAGACUGGGAUAAUCUCUGGAAACGGGGACUAAUACCGGAUAGGUAAUCGGAAGGCAUCUUCUGGUUAUUAAAGGUUAAAAACACUGGUGGAUGGGCUUAUGGCGCAUUAGUUAGUUGGUGAGGUAACGGCCCACCAAGACGAUGAUGCGUAGCCGGCCUGAGAGGGUGAACGGCCACAUUGGGACUGAGACACGGCCCAGACUCCUACGGGAGGCAGCAGUAGGGAAGUUUCGGCAAUGGGGGCAACCCUGACCGAGCAACGCCGCGUGAGCGAAGACGGCCUUCGGGUUGUAAAGCUCUGUUGUAAGGGAAGAACGGUAGAUAGAGAAUAUCUAAGUGACGGUACCUUACCAGAAAGCCACGGCUAACUACGUG